RNAcentral lists this ribosomal RNA (1498 nucleotides) under Paraclostridium bifermentans. RNAcentral describes it as "16S ribosomal RNA". It matches the Rfam family "Bacterial small subunit ribosomal RNA". The record is from RNAcentral. Lineage: Bacteria; Bacillati; Bacillota; Clostridia; Peptostreptococcales; Peptostreptococcaceae.
NNNNNNGAGAGUUUGAUCCUGGCUCAGGAUGAACGCUGGCGGCGUGCCUAACACAUGCAAGUCGAGCGAUCUCUUCGGAGAGAGCGGCGGACGGGUGAGUAACGCGUGGGUAACCUGCCCUGUACACACGGAUAACUAACCGAAAGGUAUACUAAUACGGGAUAACAUAUGAAAGUCGCAUGGCUUUUGAUAUCAAAGCUCCGGCGGUACAGGAUGGACCCGCGUGAUUAGCUAGUUGGUAAGGUAAUGGCUUACCAAGGCAACGAUCAGUAGCCGACCUGAGAGGGUGAUCGGCCACACUGGAACUGAGACACGGUCCAGACUCCUACGGGAGGCAGCAGUGGGGAAUAUUGCACAAUGGGCGAAAGCCUGAUGCAGCAACGCCGCGUGAGCGAUGAAGGCCUUCGGGUCGUAAAGCUCUGUCCUCAAGGAAGAUAAUGACGGUACUUGAGGAGGAAGCCCCGGCUAACUACGUGCCAGCAGCCGCGGUAAUACGUAGGGGGCUAGCGUUAUCCGGAAUUACUGGGCGUAAAGGGUGCGUAGGUGGUUUUUUAAGUCAGAAGUGAAAGGCUACGGCUCAACCGUAGUAAGCUUUUCAAACUAGAGAACUUGAGUGCAGGAGAGGAGAGUAGAAUUCCUAGUGUAGCGGUGAAAUGCGUAGAUAUUAGGAGGAAUACCAGUAGCGAAGGCGGCUCUCUGGACUGUAACUGACACUGAGGCACGAAAGCGUGGGGAGCAAACAGGAUUAGAUACCCUGGUAGUCCACGCCGUAAACGAUGAGUACUAGGUGUCGGGGUUACCCCCCUCGGUGCCGCAGCUAACGCAUUAAGUACUCCGCCUGGGAAGUACGAUCGCAAGAUUAAAACUCAAAGGAAUUGACGGGGACCCGCACAAGUAGCGGAGCAUGUGGUUUAAUUCGAAGCAACGCGAAGAACCUUACCUAAGCUUGACAUCCCACUGACCUCUCCCUAAUCGGAGAUUUCCUUCGGGGACAGUGGUGACAGGUGGUGCAUGGUUGUCGUCAGCUCGUGUCGUGAGAUGUUGGGUUAAGUCCCGCAACGAGCGCAACCCUUGCCUUUAGUUGCCAGCAUUAAGUUGGGCACUCUAGAGGGACUGCCGAGGAUAACUCGGAGGAAGGUGGGGAUGACGUCAAAUCAUCAUGCCCCUUAUGCUUAGGGCUACACACGUGCUACAAUGGGUGGUACAGAGGGUUGCCAAGCCGCGAGGUGGAGCUAAUCCCUUAAAGCCAUUCUCAGUUCGGAUUGUAGGCUGAAACUCGCCUACAUGAAGCUGGAGUUACUAGUAAUCGCAGAUCAGAAUGCUGCGGUGAAUGCGUUCCCGGGUCUUGUACACACCGCCCGUCACACCAUGGAAGUUGGGGGCGCCCGAAGCCGGUUAGCUAACCUUUUAGGAAGCGGCCGUCGAAGGUGAAACCAAUGACUGGGGUGAAGUCGUAACAAGGUAGCCGUAUCGGAAGGUGCGGCUGGAUCACCUCCUU